UCUAAGGAUGCCAGAGGAUCAAGGCUUGCCUUUCCUUCGGCUCAUUAGAACAAACGGUCUUCGGACCAUUUUGCGGGAUGGCGCCGCCUUCGUUUCUCUUUCUCACCGAACGGUUUUGGGACCGGCGCGCACGUGCGCGUUCGGGCACGAACUGUCGUUGCCACUGCUGGCCUGUUGGGUUAGUGAGGCAUCGCCUCGCGAGAGGGGGCCUGUAGCUCAGGUGGUUAGAGCGUACGCCUGAUAAGCGUAAAGUCGAUGGUUCGAGUCCAUCCAGGCCCACCAUCUUCGUGGCGCUACCGCGCUUCGCGCUACUUGAGCGCGUUGGUCGCAGUGCAUGGCCUGUCGUGACGAUCGGCUUCCAGCGCUUCGGCCCCAACGUGCUCAAGCAGCCGAAAGGCGGUAGCACAACAGGAAUGGGGCCUUAGCUCAGCUGGGAGAGCACCUGCUUUGCAAGCAGGGGGUCGUCGGUUCGAUCCCGACAGGCUCCACCAACCGUUCGCUCAAAGAGCACAGAACACCCGCUUCGGCGGGUUUGUUGCGCCCGGGUGCUCCCGGCGCACGACGUAUCAUCGACAUCGUGAAGAGAAGAUUUGUUCGCCCGCCAGCCGUGAGGCCUGGCGCGAGGGCGAGGGUGUGACCGACGUCCGUGCAGACCGGCGUGAGCCGCAACGCACGAAACCACCUUCGUCCUGCCGAC
This 697-nucleotide unclassified non-coding RNA is filed under the name uncultured Pseudomonadota bacterium. Its description in RNAcentral is "uncultured proteobacterium partial contains 16S ribosomal RNA, 16S-23S ribosomal RNA intergenic spacer, and 23S ribosomal RNA". The stretch from base 206 to 279 matches the Rfam family "tRNA". Lineage: Bacteria; Pseudomonadati; Pseudomonadota. The record is from RNAcentral.